RNAcentral lists this ribosomal RNA (421 nucleotides) under uncultured bacterium. Its description in RNAcentral is "bacterial SSU rRNA". It matches the Rfam family "Bacterial small subunit ribosomal RNA", at positions 357 to 770 of the family's 1533-position model. The record is from RNAcentral.
GGGAAUCCUCCACAAUGGGCGAAAGCCUGAUGGAGCAACGCCGCGUGAAUGAAGAAGGCCUUCGGGUUGUAAAAUUCUGUUAUAAGGGAAGAAAGGUGAUAGGAGGAAAUGACUAUCAAUUGACGGUACCUUAUGAGAAAGCCACGGCUAACUACGUGCCAGCAGCCGCGGUAAUACGUAGGUGGCAAGCGUUAUCCGGAUUUAUUGGGCGUAAAGGGAACGCAGGCGGUCUUUUAAGUCUGAUGUGAAAGCCCACGGCUUAACCGUGGAGGGUCAUUGGAAACUGGUUGACUUGAGUGCAGAAGAGGGAAGUGGAAUUCCAUGUGUAGCGGUGAAAUGCGUAGAGAUAUGGAGGAACACCAGUGGCGAAGGCGGCUUCCUGGUCUGCAACUGACACUGAGGCGCGAAAGCGUGGGGAGCA